This 72-nucleotide transfer RNA is filed under the name Pimelodus ornatus. Its description in RNAcentral is "tRNA-Val". It matches the Rfam family "tRNA". From Rfam's summary of the family: Transfer RNA (tRNA) molecules are approximately 80 nucleotides in length. Their secondary structure includes four short double-helical elements and three loops (D, anti-codon, and T loops). The record is from RNAcentral. Lineage: Eukaryota; Metazoa; Chordata; Actinopteri; Siluriformes; Pimelodidae.
CAGGCCGUGGCUGAGAUAGCUAAGCAUCUCCCUUACACUGAGAAGACAUUCAUGCAAAUUGAAUCGCCCUGA